CUCUACUGCAAUAGGAAGAACCAUCUACCAGCAAAGCCAAGUAUUAAUUUUACGUAGGUAAGAAGUUCUCAACAUCUACUGUAAAAUAAAAAUAAAAUAAAAACAUAAACGAUUUUUUUUUCUGAGAGAUGGAGAAUGAUAAUACUUUAUCCAUCUUAAAACUUUCAAGCUUUCAGUAGUCAACGUUUAUUUAGUCUAACCUGAAUUGCUAAUGGCUAAAAAUUCCAUUUUAUCUAACUGGAGAAGGAAACGAAACAUUACUGAUCACCUAGUAAUUUGGAAGAGGAAAAUUAAGAUGAUUGAAUGGAACAAAGCUACCAAAGAACACAAUUGAAGCUUUCCAUUUGAAAAGCAUAGAUAAAAUAACUUAUGUGAAGGAUAUGAAACAGUAAGAACAUUCUUAUCCACCAACGUACUUUUCUGCUUUCUUCGAUAGGAAAAAAGAGAAAGCAGAUUCUGAAUGAUAAAAAACAAGUGAUUCACAAUCUAAUGCAAUAUUCUCAAACCUGCACUCUUCAACCAAUACUGGAGAAGACCAGAAUUUCACUAUUUGAUAGGCGAAUCAUCCUUAGCAAAACAAUGCUAUGUAAGUAUGUAUUCACCAAAACCAAACUUGCAAUAAUUGCAUACUGUUUGUCCUAGCACCUAACAUAAUAACAUCCCUAGGUUGCAAAACUAGGAUCCAACAAGUCAACGAACAUUAUGCGAAGCGAAUUCCCCGAUGCAACAGUUUCUGAAGCACUUAAAAGAUGAAGAAAAAAAAGGGGGGCGGGGGGAUUUUUGAAACAGAAGGGAAAAGGUUGGGUCUACC
Molecule: long non-coding RNA, 811 nt
Filed under: Populus trichocarpa (black cottonwood)
Lineage: Eukaryota; Viridiplantae; Streptophyta; Magnoliopsida; Malpighiales; Salicaceae
Description: long non-coding RNA (PTRI_LNC001479)
Source: RNAcentral